Trichosurus vulpecula (common brushtail) is the source of this 332-nucleotide long non-coding RNA. RefSeq lists it as uncharacterized. The record is from RefSeq and is a predicted model, not a curated record. The transcript has 3 exons. NCBI's taxonomy places the organism in Eukaryota, Metazoa, Chordata, Mammalia, Diprotodontia, Phalangeridae.
AGCAUUGCUGGCUGCUAUCAGUGAAAAGGAUGCCAACAUAGCCUUGCUUGAACUGUCUGCUUCCAAGAAGAAGAAGACACAAGAGGAAGUAAUGACCCUGAAACGUGAAAAAGACCGACUGGUGCAUCAGUUGAAGCAGCAGACCCAGAACAGAAUGAAGUUGAUGGCUGACAAUUAUGAUGAAGACCAUCACCAUUACCAUCACCAUCACCACCAUCACCAUCACCGGUCUCCUGGGAGGUCCCAGCAUUCCAACCACAGACCCUCUCCAGACCAGGAUGAUGAGGAGGGUAUUUGGGCAUAACCGAUCCUAUAAACCAAAGUUCCAGUUU